Panicum hallii is the source of this 1552-nucleotide RNA transcript. It is a transcript of the gene named protein SENSITIVE TO PROTON RHIZOTOXICITY 1-like, with no coding region annotated. The transcript is spliced from 3 exons. The record is from RefSeq and is a predicted model, not a curated record. NCBI's taxonomy places the organism in Eukaryota, Viridiplantae, Streptophyta, Magnoliopsida, Poales, Poaceae.
CGCGUCGUGUCAAUCCAAGUUGGAUACCACUCGCAGGCGAUGGACUCCACCCCGGGCAACCCGGUCGCCGGCGCCGCCGGCAGCCGCAGCAGCGCCAUCGCGUCCAGGGGUGCGACGGCUCCGCCCCCGCUGACCAUGCCGGGCGGGGAACCCUCUGACGCCCUCUUGGGCGCCGGCGCCGGUGGUGCCGGAGGAGCGGACGGGGACCCCCGCGUCGCCCUCCUCCGCCUGGCUGCCCUCGGGGAUCGCAUGGCCGCCGUCCGGGGCCGUAUCGCCGCCUCCAUCUCCGGCGAGGCCCGGCCCCUCUCCUACGCCGACAUCCAAUCCGUCUCCUCGGAGAUCUCCUCCGCCGCCCAGCUCGUCGUCCUCAACGCCGCCUCGCUCCUCGCUUCCUCCGUCCCCUUCCCCGCCCCGCCUCCACCUCCUACCGCCGCCGCUCCCUCUCCUGCUCCCGUCCGAGAGAUCCCUGCUACGGCCGCCUCCGCCCAAGAGCAACGCCAAGAAGCCGCCAAGGGCGACGGCGGUUACGAGGUCAUGGAGCUCGACGCCGCCGAGCUGCUCGCGGAGCACGUUCACUUCUGCGAGAUCUGCGGCAAGGGCUUCCGCCGCGACGCCAACCUCAGGAUGCACAUGCGCGCGCACGGGGACCGCUUCAAGACCCUCGACGCCCUCUCCCGCCCCGGCCAGGGCAAGCCGAAGCCUCCCGCCCGCGACCGCGAGGUGCGCUUCUCCUGCCCCUUCGCGGGCUGCAACAGGAACCGCGCGCACCGCCGCUUUCGGCCUCUCAAAUCGGCGGUGUGCGCGCGGAACCACUUCCGGCGCAGCCACUGCCCCAAGCUCUACGCCUGCGAGCGCUGCGACGGGAAGAAGCGCUUCGCCGUCCUCGCUGACCUCCGCAGCCACCUGCGCCACUGCGGCGAGGAGGCGCAGUGGCGAUGCUCCUGCGGCACCACCUUCUCACGCAAGGACAAGCUGUUCGGUCACCUCGCCCUCUUUGAAGGCCACACUCCAGCGGUCACUGAGCCAAACAAGAAUGUGGCAGCAGGACCUACAGAACCAAUUCUUGAUGCGAUGGAGGAAGGAGGAAUUGAAGAAGGCAAUUGUGACCAAGAGGAGGAUGAGGAGGGCGGCUAUGAUCCAGAGUUCUUCAAGGAGUGGAUGGAGGAGCUCAAAGAUGGUGCCAGUGGCUCGAGUUGGCCUGGACCUGCAGCAACUGGACAUUAGCAAUGUUGAGAGGGCUAUCUGUGUAUUCAUCUGUCUCAAGAGAUUGUGUGUUCGACUUAAAAUGGAUAAGAAUAUGACUUGACGAGGGACAUCAAGUGACCAGGAGGAUCAAAUGAAGAAGGGCGAUUGUGAAGAACUGAAAUGUUUCAAAACUGUUAAUCUGUAGGUUUUAUCUUUACCAGCGUAUAUUCGUGCGUUCUGACCAGUAACCUGUAUGGUAUGCUGCAUCUGUCUCUGUUGCCUUCCUCGCCAUUCUCGGUCGCUUUUCGUGUGAUCCUGUGAGCUGUUGCCGGUUAAUUGGAGUACAGCGUUAAAAUGGGUUAUCCUA